GAUGAACGCUGGCGGCGUGCCUAAUACAUGCAAGUCGAGCGAACGGACGAGAAGCUUGCUUCUCUGAUGUUAGCGGCGGACGGGUGAGUAACACGUGGAUAACCUACCUAUAAGACUGGGAUAACUUCGGGAAACCGGAGCUAAUACCGGAUGAUAUUUUGAACCGCAUGGUUCAAAAGUGAAAGACGGUCUUGCUGUCACUUAUAGAUGGAUCCGCGCUGCAUUAGCUAGUUGGUAAGGUAACGGCUUACCAAGGCAACGAUGCAUAGCCGACCUGAGAGGGUGAUCGGCCACACUGGAACUGAGACACGGUCCAGACUCCUACGGGAGGCAGAAGUAGGGAAUCUUCCGAAAUGGGCGAAAGCCUGACGGAGAAACGCCGCGUGAGUGAUGAAGGUCUUCGGAUCGUAAAACUCUGUUAUUAGGGAAGAACAUAUGUGUAAGUAACUGUGCACAUCUUGACGGUACCUAAUCAGAAAGCCACGGCUAACUACGUG
Molecule: ribosomal RNA, 497 nt
Filed under: uncultured bacterium
Lineage: Bacteria
Description: partial 16S ribosomal RNA
Rfam family: Bacterial small subunit ribosomal RNA
Source: RNAcentral